CCCAGGAGUCCAACACAGCUGUAGGAUCAAAACAACAAGUCUCGUCUCAAUGAUGGACAGAUUGUGUGUGUGCGGCAGCUGAAGGAUUCCUCUGGGAUUGAAUAAACCCAGUUUCAUUUUCAUGCCUCCGGCGCAACUGAUAAACCCCGUGCAACUAUACUGUAACCGAGCAAGAGAGGCAGCAACAUGAGUACAAGCAAGAUUAAGCAGGUGAACAAGAAAACCAACAGUGAG
Corythoichthys intestinalis (scribbled pipefish) is the source of this 234-nucleotide long non-coding RNA. RefSeq lists it as uncharacterized. Lineage: Eukaryota; Metazoa; Chordata; Actinopteri; Syngnathiformes; Syngnathidae. The record is from RefSeq and is a predicted model, not a curated record. The transcript has 3 exons.